CCUACGGGUGGCAGCAGUCGAGAAUCAUUCACAAUGGGGGAAACCCUGAUGGUGCGACGCCGCGUGGGGGAAUGAAGGUCUUCGGAUUGUAAACCCCUGUCAUGUGGGAGCAAAUUAAAAAGAUAGUACCACAAGAGGAAGAGACGGCUAACUCUGUGCCAGCAGCCGCGGUAAUACAGAGGUAUCAAGCGUUGUUCGGAAUCACUGGGCGUAAGGCGUGCGUAGGCUGUUUCGUAAGUCGUGUGUGAAAGGCGCGGGCUCAACCCGCGGACGGCACAUGAUACUGCGAGACUAGAGUAAUGGAGGGGGAACCGGAAUUCUCGGUGUAGCAGUGAAAUGCGUAGAUAUCGAGAGGAACACUCGUGGCGAAGGCGGGUUCCUGGACAUUAACUGACGCUGAGGCACGAAGGCCAGGGGAGCGAAAGGGAUUAGAUACCCGUGUAGUC
Molecule: ribosomal RNA, 446 nt
Filed under: uncultured bacterium
Lineage: Bacteria
Description: partial 16S ribosomal RNA
Rfam family: Bacterial small subunit ribosomal RNA
Source: RNAcentral